GGGCUCUCCGGUAUGCUCGCGACUUGCGUCAUUCAGCCCAUCGAUAUGGUCAAGGUGAGGAUUCAGUUGGGUCAGGGCUCGGCAGGCGAGGUAACCAAGAACAUGCUUAAGGCGGAGGGAGUUGGUGCUUUCUACAAGGGUCUCUCUGCUGGGCUUCUUAGACAAGCUACCUAUACCACUGCACGACUUGGAUCUUUCAAGAUUUUGACAAACAAAGCAAUUGAAGCUAAUGAUGGCAAGCCCCUUCCUCUUUAUCAAAAAGCUUUGUGUGGGUUAACAGCUGGUGCAAUUGGAGCAUCUUUUGGCAGUCCAGCAGAUUUGGCGCUUAUCCGAAUGCAGGCUGAUGCUACCCUCCCAGUGGCACAACGCCGUAACUACAAAAAUGCAUUCCAUGCACUAUAUCGUAUUGUUGGA
Molecule: unclassified non-coding RNA, 414 nt
Filed under: Hevea brasiliensis (rubber tree)
Lineage: Eukaryota; Viridiplantae; Streptophyta; Magnoliopsida; Malpighiales; Euphorbiaceae
Source: RNAcentral